RNAcentral lists this long non-coding RNA (1203 nucleotides) under Salvator merianae (Argentine black and white tegu). RNAcentral describes it as "lncRNA (ENSSMRG00000016768.1)". The record is from RNAcentral. Lineage: Eukaryota; Metazoa; Chordata; Lepidosauria; Squamata; Teiidae.
UGGCGAUCUAUCUCAUAGGGGUAUGGUGAAGACUAAUAGGAAAAAAAGUCCAACUUUUUUCAAAGUCAGUGAGCCCCAAUUUCUAAAGCGAGUCUGUCCAAGAGAAGUUUUAAAAAGCUAUUUGCUCCAUCCAGCUGCGAGUUUCUGUAACCACAUUUGCUCCUGACAUUCUAAUAAUUCUCUUUCCUUCUUUCUCUGCUACACUCAGUGUUGGCUGGUUCUGAUUGCCUAAAGCAGAAGGGGUUUUUUUCCUUGCACAAGAAGUUCUGAAAGCCUGAAUUUGUGCCUCUUGCUUCUCUUCGUGAAUUUUAACCCACACCUAUCCUAUCGGCAGAUUCUGCAAGCUGGAGCAGUGAGUACCUGGUUGUAGUUAGAUAAUACAUCGGAAAAACUCUGCAUGCGUGAAUAAACAGCCNUAGAUAGAUUGCGUAAUAGUUUAUCUCAAUGUAAAUUCCUAUUUAAUGAUGACACGCUCGUGGAGAGCGUACGUGGCCUCACUUUGCGGGGAAAAGCGAGUAAAGGAAGCGUAGGCGCUGCUAUUCACUCGACUAAGCGCCAACUUUGGACUGGAGAAGGGGCGGGGUCGUGGAAUAGGGAGCGCCCCCUGCUGGAGCCGCGUUGCUGGGCCAGCGUGCCGUCGGUCGCGCACCUUCUUCUUCCAUCCAGCCAGCGCAGCAGCGGCGCACAGCUGGAUCACAUCGACGCCUGGGCGGGCGGACGCGAUGGAGGCAGCUCGCCAGCCCCGCUGCUCGACCCGGCUGCCUCCUGCUGUUGCCGUCGCUCGGGCUGCAACAGCCGGCUGAGGGNAGUCCAGCCCGCGCCGUNGCUGCCACGCCUGCGGAGGGAGCCGCAAGAAAGAAUGUCAUGCUGACAGUUGCUGGGAUCCUGAAGUGCACAUGAACCAAGGAUCUUCUGAAGGAUUUGGGGAAUCAUUUCUUGCACUUUCCUGAGGCCUUGGGCCUCCUGAGGUAACUUGCACAUGCUCUGAUGACAAAAUUGCAUUAUAUUUGUGCACAGGGAAAAAAAGAGUUUCCUAAAAUAGCAUGAAGAUCUUGUCAGGAAAGAUGGCUGCCUGUAUGCCCCCCCCCCAUUACUGUUUUUAGUCUGUGUGUUUUACAUUUUGUUUUUCAUUGUUGUAGCCCGUCCUAAGACCUUUAGGUAUAGGGUGGGGCAAAAAUGCAAAUAAAUAAAUAAAUGCUUCCA